Molecule: long non-coding RNA, 417 nt
Organism: Saimiri boliviensis boliviensis (Bolivian squirrel monkey)
Lineage: Eukaryota; Metazoa; Chordata; Mammalia; Primates; Cebidae
Source: RefSeq, a predicted model, not a curated record
UCCAGCGUAUUCUCACAUUGGGAGGUCUGGCUAACACCCAGGGGUGAUAGAAGGAGAAGGGGAUCUCCACAGAGCCACCCAUGGGGGCCGAGAGGGCCGUCCAGGGCACUCACCAGCCUGCAGGAAUACUGGCAGCGGCAGCAGCAGGGGCAGCAGCAGGGUCCGACCCAUGGCCUUGCUCUCUUCCAGGGCACAGGGAGACCAGCAGAGCCGUCCAGGCAGGAGAGGGGCCCUGUGGAUGGGCUGCCUGGGGAUUGAGGGAAACUGAGGCAUGGGAUCUUUAGGCUGAACUCAUCCCAACUGGACAGAUGGGCUGAAGAGAGGACAAGGGACCCCCUGGCUGCCUGGGCAGGGCCUCGAGAGGGUGGCCUGCCCUGCCUGGGGACAUGGCUAGAAGGUCACCUGCUUACUGGACCA